RNAcentral lists this ribosomal RNA (458 nucleotides) under uncultured bacterium. Its description in RNAcentral is "partial 16S ribosomal RNA". It matches the Rfam family "Bacterial small subunit ribosomal RNA", at positions 338 to 795 of the family's 1533-position model. The record is from RNAcentral.
CCUACGGGUGGCAGCAGUGAGGAAUAUUGGUCAAUGGGCGAGAGCCUGAACCAGCCAAGUCGCGUGAGGGAGUACUGCCCUAUGGGUUGUAAACCUCUUUUGUCGGGGAGCAAAAGCCGGACGUGUCCGGCUGUGAGAGUACCCGAAGAAAAAGCAUCGGCUAACUCCGUGCCAGCAGCCGCGGUAAUACGGAGGAUGCGAGCGUUAUCCGGAUUUAUUGGGUUUAAAGGGUGCGCAGGCGGAUUUUUAAGUCAGCGGUAAAAUCGUGGGGCUCAACCCCAUCCAGCCGUUGAAACUGGGGAUCUAGAGUGUGCGAGAGGUAUGCGGAAGGCGUGGUGUAGCGGUGAAAUGCAUAGAUAUCACGCAGAACCCCGAUUGCGAAGGCAGCAUACCGGUGCACAACUGACGCUCAGGCACGAAAGCGUGGGUAUCGAACAGGAUUAGAUACCCUAGUAGUC